Molecule: ribosomal RNA, 253 nt
Filed under: uncultured bacterium
Lineage: Bacteria
Description: partial 16S ribosomal RNA
Rfam family: Bacterial small subunit ribosomal RNA
Source: RNAcentral
UACGAAGGGGGCUAGCGUUGUUCGGAUUUACUGGGCGUAAAGCGCGUGUAGGCGGGCCGUUAAGUUGGGGGUGAAAGCCCGAGGCUCAACCUCGGAAUUGCCUUCAAAACUGGCGGCCUGGAGCAGAUGAGAGGCGAGUGGAAUUCCGAGUGUAGAGGUGAAAUUCGUAGAUAUUCGGAGGAACACCAGUGGCGAAGGCGACUCGCUGGCAUCUUGCUGACGCUGAGACGCGAAAGCGUGGGGAGCAAACAGG